AUGUCAUAUUCAUCAAAGGCAUCUGUUCCUGUUGGUUCCACAGCUGCUGCAGUUCCUACUGAUCAAUCACACUCAGUCGUUCCUUCUGGUACCUCAACUACUGAAGUCCUUGCACAUCUUUCAAGAACAACUCUUCAUAGUAAUGUUUCAAACAAUGCAAUUCCCACUGAUAGACAAAGCACAACUAUUCAUACCAAAACCUCAGCCACUGUAGUUCCUGCUGAUCUGUCAAGCACAAUAUCACCUACUGGUUUUACAGACACUGCAGUCGCUACUGGCCCAUCAGACUCAGUUUCCCCUGGUCCUUCAAACAGUGCAGUUUCUGCCAGUCUAUCAAACACAACUACUUCUAAUUAUUUUUCAAGCAAUGUGGUCCCUACAGAUCAACCAAGCACAACUGUUCAUACUGGAACCUCAAACACUGCAGUUCCUAUUGAAUUGUCAAUCACAACUGCUCCUAUUGCCUCUUUCAUCACUAAAGGUCCUACCAAUCAAUCAGCUGAUCCUCCUGGUCCCUUUACCAGUGAAGUACCUACUGAUUUAACAGUCACAACUGUUUCCUCAAUCACAGCAGAUCAUACUGAUCUAUCAAGCACUACUUUUCCUAUUAGUCCCACCCCCCCCACAGUACCUACUAAUCAGUCAAUCACAACUAUUCCUCUAGGCCUUUCAAACAGUGCUGCUCUUCCCAGUCUAUUAACCACAAUAGUUCCUACUGAUCUGUCAAACAGAACUGUUCCUAAUGACCAUUCAAGUAUCUCAGGUCAUACUGAACAUUUAAGCAUGACUAUUCCUAUUGGUCCCUCAACUACUACAGUUCCCACUAAUCAUUCAAACACAACUGUUCAGCCAGGCUAUUCCACCUCUACAGUGACAACAUAUCCCUCAAGCACAAUUAUUCUGCUUGAUAAGAUCAACACCACUGUCUCUACUAAUCUGUCAAGCAAAGUAAUUUCUAAUCCUUAUACAAAUACUACAAUUUCAACAAAUACAUCAAUCACAACUGCUCCAGAUGGCCAUUCAAACAAUGCAGUUCAUACAGUUUUAUCAAACACAACUAUUUCUGCUGGAAUGUCAAGUAGUGUACAUCAUAAAGAUGUAUCAAACACAACUGUUCUUUCUAGUCCAUCUGGCACUACAUUGUCCAUAUCCAGUGCAGCUGGUAAUCAUAUCACUACAUCUGUAAUAUUUUCAAACUCAACACACUCUAAAGUUGUCACCACCUCAACCACAUCUUCACUGCGAACCACUCAUCUAUCAACUAAAGCCUCAACGGGUUCAGCAGUAGCAGGCGAGGGAUUUGUUAUUCUGCAGAUCCGUUUACAGAGACAAUACAUUGAUGCUUACAAUAAUCCUGCUUCUAUGGAGUACCAGAUUCUGUCCAAAAACAUCACUAUUGAGCUCAAUCGAAUCUACCGGGAAAUUUAUGGGACCCGCUUCCUCAGAUGCUACGUGAUAAGAUUAUGGCCUGGGUCAGUGGGUGUGGAUACAGAACUUAUUUUUAAAAACCAGUCUGUGCUUCCAAAUGCAACAAGCAUUGAAGAAUCUCUAAAGACAG
Molecule: long non-coding RNA, 1558 nt
Filed under: Sinocyclocheilus grahami
Lineage: Eukaryota; Metazoa; Chordata; Actinopteri; Cypriniformes; Cyprinidae
Description: lncRNA (ENSSGRG00000023638.1)
Source: RNAcentral